This 413-nucleotide ribosomal RNA is filed under the name uncultured microorganism. RNAcentral's name for it is "bacterial SSU rRNA". It matches the Rfam family "Archaeal small subunit ribosomal RNA", at positions 330 to 744 of the family's 1478-position model. The record is from RNAcentral.
GUGCAGCAGUCGCGAAACUUCACAAUGUGCGAAAGCACGAUGAGGGAAUCCCAAGUGCUUGCACGUAAGUGUAAGCUGUUUCUCUGUCUAAAACGCAGAGAGAGUAAGGGCUGGGUAAGACGGGUGCCAGCCGCCGCGGUAAUACCUGCAGCUCGAGUGGUGACCGUUAUUAUUGGGCCUAAAACGUCCGUAGCCGGUUUAAUAAAUGCCUGGGGUAAAUCGGACCGCUUAACGGUUCAAGUUCCGGGUAGACUGUUAAACUUGAGACCGGGAGAAGUUAGAGGUACUCCUGGGGUAGAGGUGAAAUUCUGUAAUCCUAGGGGACCACCAGUGGCGAAGGCGUCUAACUAGAACGGGUCUGACGGUGAGGGACGAAGCCCUGGGGCGCAAACGGGGAUUAGAUACCCCUGUAG